Molecule: non-coding RNA, 263 nt
Filed under: Stegodyphus mimosarum
Lineage: Eukaryota; Metazoa; Arthropoda; Arachnida; Araneae; Eresidae
Description: eukaryotic small subunit ribosomal RNA
Rfam family: Eukaryotic small subunit ribosomal RNA
Source: Rfam by way of RNAcentral
GUUCAAGUACAAGCCGUAAUAAGGCGAAACCGCUCAUUUAUCAGUUAUGAAUCUUUGGAUCGUACCUUACUGCUCGGAUAACUGUGGCAAUUCUAGAGCUAAUACAUGCAGCAGAGCUCCGAUCCUCUGGGGACGAACGCUUUUACUAGACCAAAACCAAUCGAAACUCGUGUCCGUAUUAUGUGGUGACUCUGUAUAACUUUGGGCUGAUCGCACAGGCUCGUCCCGGGGACGUAUCUUUCAAUAUUCGCUUGUUGUAAGAU